Molecule: ribosomal RNA, 253 nt
Filed under: uncultured bacterium
Lineage: Bacteria
Description: partial 16S ribosomal RNA
Rfam family: Bacterial small subunit ribosomal RNA
Source: RNAcentral
UACAGAGGUCUCAAGCGUUAAUCGGAAUUACUGGGCUUAAAGGGUCCGCAGGCGGACCAGCAAGUACCUUGUGAAAUCUCAGGUCUCAACCCUGAGUCUGCUAGGUAUACUGCUGGUCUUGAGUGCAAAAGGGGUAGCUGGAACUCUAGGUGGAGCGGUGAAAUGCGUAGAUAUCCGGAGGAACACCGGUGGCGAAGGCGGCAUCCUGGACCGACACUGACGCUGAGGCGCGAAAGCCAGGGGAGCAAACGGG